UCUUAGAAUUGCAUAGAUAGUAUAAGACUGUCCACAGAUUUAGUUACACUGGGGGCGGGGGAGACAUUCCAUUAAAUAAACGCUUCUUUUUUUUUAAGACCCAUCCUCGCAGAAACGUUAAAAUAGGGUGGGGUAGAGAGCGAGGGCGGAGGCAGAGAGGGGAUAUACGUCUCAGGAUACAGGAAAUACGGAAAGAGCGAAACCCAGAGGAAGCUCGGUUUCCUGGAGGGGACCCGCCGCCAUCUCAGGUCUCUUGGCCUCGCCAGGGCCCACUGGAACGAGCUGACACCCAGGUCCUAUAAUCCUUAUGGGGGACCAACCUUGUACCUCCGGGAGAUCCACGCUCCCACCUGGAAACACGCGGGAAACGAAGCCUCCAAAAAAGCGCUGCCUCCUAGCUCCACGUUGGGAUUAUCCGGAAGGAACCCCGAACGGAGGUAACACCACUCUCCCUUCCACACCUCCUCCAGCAUCACCGGGCCUGAAGUCGCAUCCACCUCCUCCGGAGAAGUAGUACAAUAUACUUCUUCCACCCUAAACCAGUCUAUGAGGGAUUGCAGUAUGACUCCAUUUCCUUGGUGUAUUCGUAAAAUAGUUCACUCAGUGAAGACAAUGAAGAUUAUUGACAUUGCCACCCUGCUUUUUCUGAUGUCCUACACCAGAAAGUUGUGAUUUUUAAGCUUGAACAUCUGGAAGUUCACGGUUCACGUAUUGCUGAAGCCUGGUGUAUUGCUGAAGCCUGGCUUUGCCUCCAUAGGUGGGUUUAUUCUAGGAAUUUUAUUCUUUUUGAUGCAAUAGUGAAUGGGAUUGUUUCCUUAAUUUCUGAUAGUUCAUUGUUAGUGUAUAGAAAUGCAACAGAUUUCUAUAUGUUUAUUUUGUAUGCUGCAACUUUACUGACAGUUGAUGAGCUCUAGUAGUUUACUGGUGGCAUUUUAGGAUUUUCUACAUGUAGUAUCAUGUUAACUGCAAACAGGGAUAGCUUUAUUUCUUCCUUUAGAGCACAAGGGUAUUUUUUAGCUUAGCAUUUUGUUACUCUUUUCCAUUUAAUUGCACUUAAUACAGACAACAUGGUUUACAGGAUACUGAUUAUUUAGUACAUGGUGAGAUAUGCUUAAUGUUUUAAAGAGUGUGAUCAAUUAUUGUUUCAUGUGUGCUUGAAAAUAUUUUGUGUAUUCUAAUUGUUUCAUGUAGUAUUCUGUAAAUGUCUGUUAAACUUAUUGAUUGUAUUGUGUGUCUUCUAUAUCACUAUUAAUUCUGUUUACUACAUCUAUCAAUUAUUGAAACCAAUUUAAACUCUUCCACUGUAGUUGUAUAAAUUCUUAUAGUUUAUAUAUAUUCAAGGGUUUAUUAUUAUGUGCAUACAAGUCUAAAAUAGAUACACCUUUUUAUCA
Molecule: RNA transcript, 1391 nt
Organism: Cervus elaphus (red deer)
Lineage: Eukaryota; Metazoa; Chordata; Mammalia; Artiodactyla; Cervidae
Gene: NBDY
Gene name: negative regulator of P-body association
Exons: 3
Source: RefSeq, a predicted model, not a curated record